UGGGGAAUAUUGCGCAAUGGGGGAAACCCUGACGCAGCAACGCCGCGUGAUUGAAGAAGGCCUUCGGGUUGUAAAGAUCUUUAAUUGGGGACGAAUAAUUGACGGUACCCAAAGAAUAAGCUCCGGCUAACUACGUGCCAGCAGCCGCGGUAAUACGUAGGGAGCAAGCGUUAUCCGGAUUUACUGGGUGUAAAGGGCGAGUAGGCGGACUGGCAAGUCAGAAGUGAAAUCUGGGGGCUUAACCCCCAAACUGCUUUUGAAACUGCUGGUCUUGAGUGAUGGAGAGGCAGGCGGAAUUCCCAGUGUAGCGGUGAAAUGCGUAGAUAUUGGGAGGAACACCAGUGGCGAAGGCGGCCUGCUGGACAUUAACUGACGCUGAGGCGCGAAAGCGUGGGGAGCA
Molecule: ribosomal RNA, 400 nt
Filed under: uncultured bacterium
Lineage: Bacteria
Description: bacterial SSU rRNA
Rfam family: Bacterial small subunit ribosomal RNA
Source: RNAcentral